RNAcentral lists this ribosomal RNA (497 nucleotides) under uncultured bacterium. Its description in RNAcentral is "partial 16S ribosomal RNA". It matches the Rfam family "Bacterial small subunit ribosomal RNA", at positions 28 to 507 of the family's 1533-position model. The record is from RNAcentral.
GAUGAACGCUGGCGGCGUGCCUAAUACAUGCAAGUCGAGCGAACAGAUGAGGAGCUUGCUCCUCUGACGUUAGCGGCGGACGGGUGAGUAACACGUGGAUAACCUACCUAUAUGACUGGGAUAACUUCGGGAAACCGGAGCUAAUACCGGAUAAUAUAUUGAACCGCAUGGUUCAAUAGUGAAAGACGGCUUUGCUGUCACUUUUAGAUGGAUCCGCGCCGCAUUAGCUAGUUGGUAAGGUAACGGCUUACCAAGGCAACGAUGCGUAGCCGACCUGAGAGGGUGAUCGGCCACACUGGAACUGAGACACGGUCCAGACUCCUACGGGAGGCAGCAGUAGGGAAUCUUCCGCAAUGGGCGAAAGCCUGACGGAGCAACGCCGCGUGAGUGAUGAAGGUCUUCGGAUCGUAAAACUCUGUUAUUAGGGAAGAACAAAUGUGUAAGUAACUAUGCACGUCUUGACGGUACCUAAUCAGAAAGCCACGGCUAACUACGUG